AUGGCUUACUAUUCAGAUCAUCAGGCUUAUGCGAGCAACACUACAAACAGCACAGAAAGUAUUCAAGAACUGAUAAGUAAGAUUUCCCAUCAAUUAGAUGAUUUAGCUCGGCAGCGAGGAGUAGUUUUUGAGGAUAGGCCUAGUUCUUAUUAUCCUUAUUCCGGAGGCAAUCCUUACGUUGCUCCUACAUGCCAUAUUUGUGGAUUUCAGGGCCAUUCGCCCGCUGAAUGUCAGCGUGGUUACUCUCACACUCCAGAUUGUUUUGGCAUGAGCUUCGCUCAAGAGCAUAGCUCAUACCAAAACAAUUAA
Molecule: ribosomal RNA, 309 nt
Filed under: Triticum aestivum (bread wheat)
Lineage: Eukaryota; Viridiplantae; Streptophyta; Magnoliopsida; Poales; Poaceae
Description: partial small subunit ribosomal RNA
Source: RNAcentral